Molecule: ribosomal RNA, 1270 nt
Filed under: Ammonia beccarii
Lineage: Eukaryota; Foraminifera; Rotaliida; Rotaliidae
Description: partial large subunit ribosomal RNA
Rfam family: Eukaryotic large subunit ribosomal RNA
Source: RNAcentral
CACAUCAGCUCGAGUGAGAAUACGCGCUCAACUUAAGCAUAUCAGUCAGCGCACGUACACUAAUAGAAACUAACCAGGAUUCCCUUAGUAACGGCGAGUGAACUGGGAUACCAACACACCAAUAUGCACUCUGUGAUAAAUUUUAGCCCGUCGAUACUAUCCUAGCAUAUCACCGGUCUCGGCCGGUAACCCAAUAUGCGGGAAUUGUAGCAUCGUAAUAAAAAAUAUAUAUACGUGCUGUGCACACACACACAUGAACCCUGUGCCAUGCGUACGUGACCUUGUAAACACACAGCGUCUCCGCGUUGGAAAGCAAGUAUAUAUCCUCUUUGGAUAUGCCAUAGAGUGUGACAGCCACGUUUGACUCACUCCACACGUUACGCGCACACACACCCAUUGCACACACACACAUUAUAUAUAUUUCUAUAACCUGAGUCGAGUUAUUUGGGACUAUAGCUCUAAUAGUUUGGUUGGUGGUAAUGACACAUCAAAGGCUAAAUAUUGGUUAGAUCGAUGCAUAUUGCGGAGACCGAUAGCAUACAAGUACCGUAAGGAACGAUGAAAAGCACCCUAUUGAGUUCACGGCACAGACUCGAUGCGCGGUUCGGGGUGGGCCGUGUCCGGUGCCCAACAACUACAGUGGGAGUGAAAGAGAGAGUGAAAUCGCCUAUACAUAAAAUAUAUGCACUACACACAGUAACUGCAUGCAGUCUGCGUUAGUACAAUCGGACAGAGUGUCGUAUCAUUGUAUGGCCGCCUAAUACAUAACACACACACAUUACACUGUGUAUUAUGGUCAGGCCCAUAGCUGGGUUCGCCCGCUAUACGCGACACAACUGUACGACCCGUUUUGAAACACGGACCAAGGAGUUCAACUGGAUUACGAGUCGUCGAGUAUUUAUGCACACACAUAUAAACUCACACGGCACAGCGAAAGCAACUUAAUCCUUUUUACAGUGCUAGGUCGGCCGUCAAAAGCUGACCGCAGCACGCGCUGAGUGAGUAUAUGCGUGAGGGCCUCGUGUCAACGCGCGUACCUGUACGCCUUUUGUGUGAACAGGAUCACUCAAGCGUUCGACGAGUAUAUCUUGUUGAGACCCGAAAGAUGGUGAACUAUGCUCGGAUAUGGCGAAGUCAGGUGAAAACUUGAUGGAAGCUUGCGUUGUGCGGAACUGACGUGCAAAUCGUUACCGCCUAACCUGAGUAUAGGGGCGAAAGACUCACGAACCAUCUAGUAGCUGGUUCCCUCCGAAGUUUCCCUCAGGAUAGC